RNAcentral lists this ribosomal RNA (627 nucleotides) under uncultured Thelephoraceae. RNAcentral's name for it is "eukaryotic LSU rRNA". The stretch from base 212 to 366 matches the Rfam family "5.8S ribosomal RNA". The record is from RNAcentral. Lineage: Eukaryota; Fungi; Basidiomycota; Agaricomycetes; Thelephorales; Thelephoraceae.
GGAUCAUUACUGAAUUGUCAACAUGAAGUUGUUGCUGGCCCUCAGAUGGGGGUAUGUGCACGCUCUGUUUACACAUCCACUCACACCUGUGCACCCUCUGUAGUUCUAUGGUCUGGGGGCUCUGUCCUCCUGCUGUGGUUCUGCGUAUUUAUACAUACACACUGUAAUAAAGUCUCAUGGAAUGUAUGCCGCGUUUAACGCAAUGUAAUACAACUUUCAGCAACGGAUCUCUUGGCUCUCGCAUCGAUGAAGAACGCAGCGAAAUGCGAUAAGUAAUGUGAAUUGCAGAAUUCAGUGAAUCAUCGAAUCUUUGAACGCACCUUGCGCCCUUUGGCUAUUCCGAAGGGCAUGCCUGUUUGAGUAUCAUGAACACCUCAACUCCUCAUGGCUUGCCAUGAUGAGCUUGGACUUGGGGGUCUUGCUGGCCUGUGGUCAGCUCCUCUCAAAUGAAUCAGCUUGCCAGUGAUUGGUGGCACCACAGGUGUGAUAAACAUCUACGCUUGUGGUUCCCCACCAUGUAACCUUUAGCGAUAGAGGUUCGCUGGAGCUCACAAAUGUCUUUCCUCAGUGAAGACAGCUCUUUGAUUGUUUGAUCUCAAAUCAGGUAGGACUACCCGCUGAACUUAA